This 496-nucleotide ribosomal RNA is filed under the name uncultured bacterium. RNAcentral describes it as "partial 16S ribosomal RNA". It matches the Rfam family "Bacterial small subunit ribosomal RNA", at positions 28 to 507 of the family's 1533-position model. The record is from RNAcentral.
GAUGAACGCUGGCGGCGUGCCUAAUACAUGCAAGUCGAGCGAACGGACGAGAAGCUUGCUUCUCUGAUGUUAGCGGCGGACGGGUGAGUAACACGUGGAUAACCUACCUAUAAGACUGGGAUAACUUCGGGAAACCGUAGCUAAUACCGGAUAAUAUUUUGAACCGCAUGGUUCAAAAGUGAAAGACGGUCUUGCUGUCACUUAUAGAUGGAUCCGCGCUGCAUUAGCUAGUUGGUAAGGUAACGGCUUACCAAGGCAACGAUGCAUAGCCGACCUGAGAGGGUGAUCGGCCACACUGGAACUGAGACACGGUCCAGACUCGACGGGCGGCCGCAGUAGGGAAUCUUCCGCAAUGGGCGAAAGCCUGACGGAGCAACGCCGCGUGAGUGAUGAAGGUCUUCGGAUCGUAAAACUCUGUUAUUAGGGAAGAACAUAUGUGUAAGUAACUGUGCACAUCUUGACGGUACCUAAUCAGAAAGCCACGGCUAACUACGUG